RNAcentral lists this ribosomal RNA (253 nucleotides) under uncultured bacterium. RNAcentral describes it as "partial 16S ribosomal RNA". It matches the Rfam family "Bacterial small subunit ribosomal RNA", at positions 524 to 776 of the family's 1533-position model. The record is from RNAcentral.
UACGGAGGGAGCUAGCGUUGUUCGGAUAUACUGGGCGUAAAGCGCACGUAGGCGGCGCCGUAAGUCAGGGGUGAAAUCCCGGAGCUCAACUCCGGAACUGCCCUUGAAACUGCAGUGCUAGAAUCUUGGAGAGGCGAGUGGAAUUCCGAGUGUAGAGGUGAAAUUCGUAGAUAUUAGGAAGAACACCAGUGGCGAAGGCGGCUCACUGGUCCGGUACUGACGCUGAGGUGCGAAAGCGUGGGGAGCAAACAGG